This 497-nucleotide ribosomal RNA is filed under the name uncultured bacterium. RNAcentral describes it as "partial 16S ribosomal RNA". It matches the Rfam family "Bacterial small subunit ribosomal RNA", at positions 28 to 507 of the family's 1533-position model. The record is from RNAcentral.
GAUGAACGCUGGCGGCGUGCCUAAUACAUGCAAGUCGAGCGAACAGAUGAGGAGCUUGCUCCUCUGACGUUAGCGGCGGACGGGUGAGUAACACGUGGAUAACCCACCUAUAAGACUGGGAUAACUUCGUGAAACCGGAGCUAAUACCGGAUAAUAUAUUGAACCGCAUGGUUCAUUAGUGAAAGACGGUUUUGCUGUCACUUAUAGAUGGAUCCGCGCCGCAUUAGCUAGUUGGUAAGGUAACGGCUUACCAAGGCAACGAUGCGUAGCCGACCUGAGAGGGUGAUCGGCCACACUGGAACUGAGACACGGUCCAGACUCCUACGGGAGGCAGCAGUAGGGAAUCUUCCGCAAUGGGCGAAAACCUGACGGAGCAACGCCGCGUGAGUGAUGAAGGUCUUCGGAUCGUAAAACUCUGUUAUUAGGGAAGAACAAAUGUGUAAGUAACUAUGCACGUCUUGACGGUACCUAAUCAGAAAGCCACGGCUAACUACGUG